GCACAAGCGGUGGAGCAUGUGGUUAAUUCGAGGCAACGCGAAGAACCUUACCAGGUCUUGACAUCCCCUGACAACCCGAGAGAUCGGGCGUUCCCCUUCGGGGGACAGGGUGACAGGUGGUGCAUGGUUGUCGUCAGCUCGUGUCGUGAGAUGUUGGGUUAAGUCCCGCAACGAGCGCAACCCUCGACCUUAGUUGCCAGCAUUCAGUUGGGCACUCUAAGGUGACUGCCGGCUAAAAGUCGGAGGAAGUGGGGAUGACGUCAAAUCAUCAUGCCCCUUAUGACCUGGGCUACACACGUGCUACAAUGGGCGGUACAAAGGGUCGCGAACCCGCGAGGGGGAGCCAAUCCCAAAAAGCCGCUCUCAGUUCGGAUUGCAGGCUGCAACUCGCCUGCAUGAAGCCGGAAUCGCUAGUAAUCGCGGAUCAGCAUGCCGCGGUGAAUACGUUCCCGGGCCUU
RNAcentral lists this ribosomal RNA (458 nucleotides) under uncultured Anoxybacillus sp. RNAcentral describes it as "bacterial SSU rRNA". It matches the Rfam family "Bacterial small subunit ribosomal RNA", at positions 923 to 1382 of the family's 1533-position model. The record is from RNAcentral. Lineage: Bacteria; Bacillati; Bacillota; Bacilli; Caryophanales; Anoxybacillaceae.